AUACGGAGGGUCCAAGCGUUAUCCGGAAUCAUUGGGUUUAAAGGGUUCGUAGGCGGGUCAAUAAGUCAGAGGUGAAAUCUUGCAGCUUAACUGUAAAAUUGCCUUUGAAACUGUUGACCUUGAAUUACUGUGAAGUGGUUAGAAUGUGUAGUGUAGCGGUGAAAUGCUUAGAGAUUACAUAGAAUACCGAUUGCGAAGGCAGAUCACUAACAGUAUAUUGACGCUGAUGAACGAAAGCGUGGGUAGCGAACGGGAUUAGAAACCCCGGUAGUCC
RNAcentral lists this ribosomal RNA (274 nucleotides) under uncultured bacterium. RNAcentral describes it as "partial 16S ribosomal RNA". It matches the Rfam family "Bacterial small subunit ribosomal RNA", at positions 523 to 796 of the family's 1533-position model. The record is from RNAcentral.